Erythranthe guttata (spotted monkey flower) is the source of this 1548-nucleotide non-coding RNA. NCBI's taxonomy places the organism in Eukaryota, Viridiplantae, Streptophyta, Magnoliopsida, Lamiales, Phrymaceae. The record is from RefSeq and is a predicted model, not a curated record.
AUUUCAUAUAUAUAUAUUCUCUCUCCUUGGAGAAUAUAUAGAUACAGAGUACAGACUAAGCCCUGUGUGUUUUAUUUCUGUAACCGAUUUGCAGAAAUUCAACCAUGGCAGCACACCUCCCUCUUCCAGUAAACGAGCUGGAAUCGGGCCCCACCGAUUCGGUCGCGUCAACUCCACGCUCCGACCACCACGGCCACGACGACGCCGCCCUGCAGCCGCCGCGUGUCCGCUUCAUGUGCAGCUUCGGCGGCAAGAUCCUCCCCCGGCCCCACGACAACCAGCUCCGCUACGUCGGCGGCGACACACGCAUCGUCGCCGUCCACCGCCACACCACGUUCUCCGGCCUCCUCUCGAAGCUGUCGAAGCUGUACGGCACCGCCAGCGUCUGCAUAAAGUACCAGCUCCCGAACGAAGACCUCGACGCGCUCAUCACCGUCACCGCCGACGAGGACGUCGAGAACAUGAUGGAGGAGUACGAUCGGCUCAGCCACGCCCCGAAAUCGGCUCGGCUCCGCCUCUUCCUCUUCCCAAUCGACGAAAACAACAACAACACUAACGACUCAUCACGGCCGUCAAGUAUCAUCAGCUCACUCCUCGACGGCUCCGUCAAGCGCGAGAACUGGUUCGUCGACGCACUUAACGGCGGACAAACGGCCGGUCCGAUCCUCGAGCGCGGCCGGUCCGAGGUGUCGUCGAUUGUUUCGGAAGUGCCGGAUUAUUUAUUCGGGCUGGAUAACUCCGACGACCCCCUAAAAGAAGCCGCAACCAAGAUGCAGAAGAACAACAAAACCAACCUAAACGACAGCGUUUCGAUGUCGGAUCCGGGUUCGCCCGCCGCGGUUGCUUCUUCGCCCUUCUGCUCCACGUCAUCAACUCUGGGCCCACCCGGUCUGCAACAAUCCCGGAUCUUCCGCCGGUUAAAACCAAACCCGUGAACACGGUUCAGUUUGUGGACCAUAAUAAUAAUAAUAAUAAUAAAGAGAGCGAAAUGGUGUCCCAGCAAACCGGGUAUCCGGGUGGACCGGUUUGGCAUUACCCGAAUCCAGCUGUGCAAUCCAUGCCUGCAGUGUACUACAUGCCAGCUGGCAGCCACGUGCAACCCGGGAAUGCGUCUGUCCAACCGGUUCAGUACCGGACACAGUUUGUCCAGCCGUACCCGCUUGGACCGGGUCAAGUACCCAUGGGUUACCCGGGUGUGAAUCAAGUGUACGGAGCGGGUGUGCGGGUCCCAUAUGAAAUGCCCACCCGAAUUAUCACUGACAAUAACCAGACAAUGUACUAUGGGACGAGAAAUAUGGGCGUUGUUCCGGGUUCUUAUCCGGGUAUGGUUGUUUCUGGAGGGGAAGAGAUGCAGGGAACCGGGUCGGAUGUGAUGUCGGGUCGGGUCUCGCAAGGAUCUUGAUCAUGUAGUUAAUUGGAUCACUCUUUAUCGACGUAUAUAAUUGUGGGUAUAAAAUUAUGUAUUGUUUUAUUUUGGAUUGUGGUGAUUUAUGACUAGUUUUGUUAUAUAAUAAAGUAAUAUAAUAUAUUAAACUAUUUAUUUGCAAA